RNAcentral lists this non-coding RNA (198 nucleotides) under Blautia sp. Lineage: Bacteria; Bacillati; Bacillota; Clostridia; Lachnospirales; Lachnospiraceae. The record is from RNAcentral.
UGAAUAAAGAAGAUAACAGGUGCCGAGGGCAUUGUUCAUGAGGUUAAAAGGGAAACAGGUGAGAAACCUGUACGAUCUCGUCACUGUAAGCACGGAGUACGGUUCUGUAUGCAUUAAGCAUGAUCACUGGGAAACUGGGAAGAUAGAACCAUAUGUUGAGCGGCAAGUCAGGAAACCUGCCUGUUGUCUGGUACGGGA